GCCUUCGUAGCUCAACGGCAGAGCGUGCCUCUGAAAAGGGCGAGAAGAUGGUCCGACUCCAUCCGAAGGCA
Molecule: transfer RNA, 71 nt
Filed under: Candidatus Kaiserbacteria bacterium CG10_big_fil_rev_8_21_14_0_10_51_14
Lineage: Bacteria; Candidatus Kaiseribacteriota
Description: tRNA-Phe
Rfam family: tRNA
About the family: Transfer RNA (tRNA) molecules are approximately 80 nucleotides in length. Their secondary structure includes four short double-helical elements and three loops (D, anti-codon, and T loops). Further hydrogen bonds mediate the characteristic L-shaped molecular structure. tRNAs have two regions of fundamental functional importance: the anti-codon, which is responsible for specific mRNA codon recognition, and the 3' end, to which the tRNAs corresponding amino acid is attached (by aminoacyl-tRNA synthetases). tRNAs cope with the degeneracy of the genetic code in two manners: having more than one tRNA (with a specific anti-codon) for a particular amino acid; and 'wobble' base-pairing, i.e. permitting non-standard base-pairing at the 3rd anti-codon position.
Source: RNAcentral